GGGCGCAAGCCUGAUCCAGCCAUACCGCGUGGGUGAAGAAGGCCUUCGGGUUGUAAAGCCCUUUUGUUGGGAAAGAAAUCUUGCCGAUUAAUACCUGGCGAGGAUGACGGUACCCAAAGAAUAAGCACCGGCUAACUUCGUGCCAGCAGCCGCGGUAAUACGAAGGGUGCAAGCGUUACUCGGAAUUACUGGGCGUAAAGCGUGCGUAGGUGGUGGUUUAAGUCUGCUGUGAAAGCCCUGGGCUCAACCUGGGAAUUGCAGUGGAUACUGGGUCACUAGAGUGUGGUAGAGGGAUGCGGAAUUUCCGGUGUAGCAGUGAAAUGCGUAGAGAUCGGAAGGAACAUCCGUGGCGAAGGCGGCAUCCUGGGCCAACACUGACACUGAGGCACGAAAGCGUGGGGAGCAAACAGGAUUAGAUACCCUGGUAGUCCACGCCCUAAACGAUGCGAACUGGAUGUUGGGUGCAACUUGGCACCCAGUAUCGAAGCUAACGCGUUAAGUUCGCCGCCUGGGGA
Molecule: ribosomal RNA, 515 nt
Filed under: denitrifying bacterium M961
Lineage: Bacteria
Also listed under: 2 other names
Description: bacterial SSU rRNA
Rfam family: Bacterial small subunit ribosomal RNA
Source: RNAcentral